RNAcentral lists this ribosomal RNA (590 nucleotides) under Hanseniaspora uvarum. RNAcentral describes it as "partial large subunit ribosomal RNA". It matches the Rfam family "Eukaryotic large subunit ribosomal RNA", at positions 65 to 668 of the family's 3401-position model. The record is from RNAcentral. Lineage: Eukaryota; Fungi; Ascomycota; Saccharomycetes; Saccharomycodales; Saccharomycodaceae.
CCCCGGGGGGAUACCUUAGUACGGCGAGUGAAGCGGUAAAAGCUCAAAUUUGAAAUCUGGUACUUUCAGUGCCCGAGUUGUAAUUUGUAGAAUUUGUCUUUGAUUAGGUCCUUGUCUAUGUUCCUUGGAACAGGACGUCAUAGAGGGUGAGAAUCCCGUUUGGCGAGGAUACCUUUUCUCUGUAAGACUUUUUCGAAGAGUCGAGUUGUUUGGGAAUGCAGCUCAAAGUGGGUGGUAAAUUCCAUCUAAAGCUAAAUAUUGGCGAGAGACCGAUAGCGAACAAGUACAGUGAUGGAAAGAUGAAAAGAACUUUGAAAAGAGAGUGAAAAAGUACGUGAAAUUGUUGAAAGGGAAGGGCAUUUGAUCAGACAUGGUGUUUUUUGCAUGCACUCGCCUCUCGUGGGCUUGGGCCUCUCAAAAAUUUCACUGGGCCAACAUCAAUUCUGGCAGCAGGAUAAAUCAUUAAGAAUGUAGCUACUUCGGUAGUGUUAUAGCUUUUUGGAAUACUGUUAGCCGGGAUUGAGGACUGCGCUUCGGCAAGGAUGUUGGCAUAAUGGUUAAAUGCCGCCCGUCUUGAACCACCGGGACCA